RNAcentral lists this ribosomal RNA (466 nucleotides) under uncultured bacterium. Its description in RNAcentral is "partial 16S ribosomal RNA". It matches the Rfam family "Bacterial small subunit ribosomal RNA", at positions 28 to 507 of the family's 1533-position model. The record is from RNAcentral.
GACGAACGCUGGCGGCGUGCUUAACACAUGCAAGUCGAACGGAAAGGCCCUGCUUGCAGGGUACUCGAGUGGCGAACGGGUGAGUAACACGUGGGUGAUCUGCCCUGCACUUCGGGAUAAGCUUGGGAAACUGGGUCUAAUACCGGAUAGGAGCCAUCUUUAGUGCGGUGGUUGGAAAGUUUUUUCGGUGUAGGAUGAGCUCGCGGCCUAUCAGCUUGUUGGUGGGGUAAUGGCCUACCAAGGCGGCGACGGGUAGCCGGCCUGAGAGGGUGUACGGCCACAUUGGGACUGAGAUACGGCCCAGACUCCUACGGGAGGCAGCAGUGGGGAAUAUUGCACAAUGGGCGCAAGCCUGAUGCAGCGACGCCGCGUGGGGGAUGAAGGCCUUCGGGUUGUAAACUCCUUUCGCUAGGGACGAAGCUUUUUUGUGACGGUACCUAGAUAAGAAGCACCGGCUAACUACGUG